RNAcentral lists this long non-coding RNA (1736 nucleotides) under Eucalyptus grandis. Its description in RNAcentral is "long non-coding RNA (EGRA_LNC001204)". Lineage: Eukaryota; Viridiplantae; Streptophyta; Magnoliopsida; Myrtales; Myrtaceae. The record is from RNAcentral.
ACAAGAAGGUGAUGGUCUCAAAAGUUCAUUACUUGAUAGGUUUCACAUGCACCGAGAGAUUUGUAUUGCCAAACCUACCUAACACUUUACAUCAGUUUCAACGCCACCGAGUCAUUAUCAUUUCCAACUGAGCUAUGAGAACUAAGAAAAAUGUUUAGCCUACAUGUAAACAGCUGCAUUAAAGGGGACACAAAUGAUCAUUAAAGAUGUCCAUGCAUCAAGAAGGCCCUGGUUUCUAAAAGUAUUAAGGAAGCAGAAUAUGAGAAACAAGAUGUACAGAUAAAAGAGUUCAGGAAGUCACUAGCCCGAUGGAAUUUACAUAUUCAGAGUGUGAUAGGAAACACUACUGCUAAACAAAUCGGGCAACGUUCUGCACAUAGAAGAAUAAGAAAAAGGCAGGUUCAAUUUAAGAUACCAAGAAAGUAUUCUGCCUGUAGUAUCUGUUAUUUUGCAGUAAAACAUGGCAAAAGCAGUUCACAUGCAUAAAGAAUCGACAGAAAAUGUCCUCUGGAAUGACUAUGCUAGUUAUAUUACAAAGGGAGAAAAAAUGAGAAUCAACAAAUUGGUAUUCAAGAAAAGGAGGAAGUGAUUCAAGUCAAUCUCCCAGCAGUUUGCAUAGUUUUCAAUAAUCUCCCAGGAAACAGGGGGAAGGAGACUUUUCACAAUGGACUACCGAAAAAUAAAAACAGAGGCUUUUCCCUGUCUUCUCCUCCCUCAAGAACAGCCAGGUGAUUUUUUGCCCGUGAAGAAGGCAAUUAUACCAGGCCUCUAAGCAUUUUGCAUCAAUACAUGGCCAAUGAGACCGAGAAGGAGUAUAUCAAACUGCGUUUGUUACUUUAAUGGAAAACAAUCUAAUAUGUGACUGAUUCCUUCCCACCAAAAUCACUGUAUUCCCCUGUGACUUUUACCUGAACCAAAGCACUGGCGGGAUCUUGAUGCGAGCGGAACUGGAGAUCAACAGGCUGGCGGGUGUGAGACGGUCGGGCACCAACGUUCCAGCGUACAAGACAAGCCGGUGUCGGAUCUGGAGCUGGAGGGGGACGCGGUAGUUCGCCGGUCACGCGGUGGUUCGCCGCGAAGAGAGGGAGGGCAGACAGAGAAGAGCGGGAUCGUGAUGCGAGCGGAACUGGAGAUCAACAGGCCGGCGGGUGUGAGGCGGUCGGGCACCAACGUUCCAGCGUACAAGACAAGCCGGUGUCGGAUCUGGAGCUGGAGGGGGGGCGCGGUGGUUCGCCGGUCACGCGGUGGUUCGCCGCGAAGAGAGGGAGGGCAGACAGAGAAGAGCAGGGGACGGACAAGUCGGGGCCAGAUCCGGAGCCGGAGGGGGUGGCGCGGUGGUUCGCCGGUCGGAAAAAGCGAGGGAGGGCAGAGAGAGGGAGGUUGCUCGCAGUCGUCUCGCCGGUAUCCUCCUCGUUCGUCGGUUGCUCGCAGUGGUUCGCCGGCCGGAAAGAGGGAGGGCAGAGAGGAAGGUCGCACGCCGGUCGGUCGCUCGCGGUCGUCUCGCCGGUAUCCUGGUUUGUCGGUUGCUCGCGGUGGUUCGCCGGUCGGAAAAAGCGAGGGCAGAGAGAGAGAGUUCCUCGGGAGUUCGUUCGGGGAGAGAGAGCGAGUGUAGAGAGAGACGAAAGAAAGAACUGAAAACCCUAGCUACAGUACAGAAACAUUUUCAAAAUGGCGCCUGACCUUAUGGGUCCCACGAGGACACGUGUCGCGCUGCUACCGCCUUCUUGUUUGCCACG